AUUUGGAUGUUUUAAAUAUUUGACGCACAGGUGUCAGUAUCUACGGAGACAGAUUUGUUGACGAGAACUACGUUUUAUCACACAAAGCCGCUGGUUACGUUUCCAUGGCAAACCAUGGCAAAGACACAAAUGGAUCCCAGUUUUUCAUCCUGUUAACUAAGGCCAGGUGGCUGGACGAAAAGCAUGUGGUUUUCGGCAAAGUCAUCAAGGGAAUGGAUGUUGUCCGACAAAUUGGAGAAGUUCCCGCAAGCAAUGUUAACGCUUUGCCCAAAAGGAAAGUCACCAUAUAAGACAGUGGGGUAGUUGGGAUCCAGAAGAAAUAUGAAUUAACUGAAGAACAAAUGGCGUCCGAUGACGAUAUCUAAACUAAAAAGAAACAAAAAAAAAACGACAGACCAACAGCGUGGUAGUCCUCAUUAAUACAUGUUUGACAUGUGGUCGUCUGAUUCAGUUGGACGUUUGACUUGUUGAUUCCAUAUCAUAUCAUUCAUGUACGGAAGUGUAUCACAGAACUGCAUUUUGUAUUUUGAUACUUGUGUUAAUGUGUUGGUUUUGUUCUUUUCCCAAUAAGUCUGUUUCUCUCUGAAGCUUUUAUCAAACACUCUCUGUCACAAAAAAUGUUUUUAUUUUUUCCUCAUAUAUUUUUUUUAAGUUUGUUUAAGUGCAGUUGUAAACAUUUUAAUUUGUUAACUUUGUAAAAUACAUUUUAUUUGUAUAUGAUUUGGUCAUAAUGAAUUAAAGUUGAAAGAUUAUUUCCCAGCAUAGAGUUCUCAUAGAGUGUAUGGCACACCUUUACUCAGCAUUACCAUGUUAAACAAAGCAAGUACUCUUGUAACUUCAACACAGUUGUCAGCUUUUAAUUAAUUCCGGAACACCUUAUUUUGUCCACUUCAGCGGCAUUCCAGUACAUGUAAUCAAUAUGGACACCAGCUAUUGUAUUUGACACAGACAGUAACCAAGUGUUACUACAUUGGAAAGUAAGUGAUUACCAAAGAACAAAAGCAUCUAUAAGCAGCGAAGUAUUAAAGUAAAGCCGUCUCUGCCCAUUACAACACAAUUUUGUCAAAAUCGGAAAGCAUUAAAUUCGUGCCCAUACUUAUUCAGUCACAUGGAACUUUUGAACAAAUUCACAUUUAAUACGAAAAUAGGACUAGUUUCUCUAAUAAACAUUUUAACGUUGUUGUGUGAAUCCAUGAAACAUUUCCAUCAACUGACUUUCCUAUAAAUGAUUAAAGAGCACUUAAUUAACAUUCCAUAAGGCAGCUUGGUCCAUGGUUAUUGAGUGGAAGACCAGUCCUGAAAGCAAAACGUAAAAUUUAUAUUACAUGAUAAAAUGAUGAUUAAAUGAAUUAAAUGAUGUAAACAUUAACCUAUCAAAAAAUCUGAUCCCUGCGGGUAUGUACUUAUGGACUGAAUGUAUUGUAGUAACAAAUCAUAUGGUGUCUGAAUGUAAUUUUUUUCACCGGAUUAAGCUACAGAAAAAAAUGAUAAUAAACCCAAUUCCAAACAUGUU
Long non-coding RNA from Pecten maximus, 1513 nucleotides. RefSeq lists it as uncharacterized. NCBI's taxonomy places the organism in Eukaryota, Metazoa, Mollusca, Bivalvia, Pectinida, Pectinidae. The transcript is spliced from 2 exons. The record is from RefSeq and is a predicted model, not a curated record.